GGCCAAAGUAUUGGGGUUUCAGCUUCAUCAUCAGUCCUUCCAAUGAAUAUUCAGGACUGAUUUCCUUUAGGUUUGACUGGUUGGAUCUCCUUGCAGUCCAAGGGACUCUCAAGAGUCUUCUCCAACACCAAAGCUCAAAAGCAUCAAUCUUCAGCGCUCAGCUUUCUUUAUAGUCCAACUCUCACAUCCAUACAUGACUAUUGGGAAAACCAUAGCUUUGACUAGACAGACCUUACUUGUCACUAAACUAUCAGCUCGGGUUGUUUGUACUUUUGAGAUUUAACUAAAUUUGCCACAAAUCCGUUCUCCCAUGCCCUGUGUUAAGUGCACAGCUUUCUUCAACAUUUCUGUAAGUGACCAGGAGCCCGAGUUCUCAUGGUCACCAUGGUUCUGAGCUUCUGCCCCUUCUCUAGUCGUAUCUCCAGUCUGGGGCUCAGCCCUUCCCUCAUAUUCUUCCCUAUAAUGGCUUAUCACAGGAUAUUGGUUAUAGCUCCCUGUCCUGUAGAAUAGGACCUUGUUGUUGAUAGUGUGCAUCUGCUGAUCCCAAAUUCCCAAUCGUUCCCUCUCCCACCUCUUCUCUCCCUUGCAGCCACAAGUCUGUUCUCUGUCUUUGAGUCUUGCUUCUGUUUCUUAGAUAUGUUCACUUGUGUUGUAUUUUAGAUUCCACAUGUAAAUGAUAUCAUAUGGUAUUUGUCUUUCUCUUUCUGACUUACUUCACUUAGUAUGAUAAUCUCUAGGUUCAUCCAUAUUGUUGCAUAUGGCAUUAUUUUGAAGAACUGACUCAAAUUUGAAUAGAAUUGGUUCUUGGUUAGUUUCCAGCAGUAUUUGCUCCUCUGUCCAUGGGACUUCCCAGGCAAGAAUACCAGAGUGGGGUGCCAUUACCUACUCUAAAUUUUAGCUCUCAUUCAUGUUAAAAAGGAUAUUGAGAUUCAGAGAGGUUAAAGACAUGUCAAAAAGGCAGACUAGGUCAAAAGGAGAAAUGCACUUAGGGUCCCUUGAUUUCUAUCCAGCGCUUUUGUUUCGCCAUCUCCCUUAUGUUGCUAAGACUGUUUUAUUAGGAAGAAGUUAAAGCCAUAGAAGAUAUUUCUGAAUGGGAUGUAAUUAAGAACUUGGAAUAUUCUAUUUCUUUAAAAGCAAAGCAUGAGUUGGCUUUGUUCUCAGUGACUACUACUCAGAUCAUUUGUGGACUUCUCAUUAAUAUGUAUGCUGUAAUACCUGCUGGUGAGCCAUUUUUUGCUGAAUGGAUACCGGAAAACCUUCUGUCCCUGCUUACUUUGCUACUACUUUAUGUCUGUCCCUCACUCAGGCCACCAGCAUUCUUGCUCUGGUGUAUCCUUUUAGUCUUGCUCUUGCUCGCCUUAAUUUCCUUUGCCUAAAUAUUCCUACUCAUCCAUUAAGAUGUUUGCAGUGAUAAAUUCACUUUACCUUUAUAGCCUUCUCUCCCUUAGCAGAGGUUGUAGCUCUUUCCUUUUGCCUCCAUAAUGCUUAAGGAGAUUUCUGUUGUGACAAGGGAUGUAUUGCAUCGAUUACUUUAUUUAUCUCUCUUUCCUACCUCAUAACCCAACAAACAGAUUGUGAGUUUUGUGAGGGCCAGGACAGCACCUAAUGCACGUUUGCAAACAGGCAGCUAGGCCAGUGCCUAGCAUAUAGAACCUCUUCCAAGUGUGUGUUGAAUGGCAUAAACAAAUUCUCAUAUUUUCUUACAUCUCAAUUCAUCAUAUAAAAUCCAAGUAGGGGAUAGGACACAAUCCCCUUGCUUUCACAGAGCUUACUGUUUAUUGCUUUAGUUUUUCUUCUGUUUUACAGGUCAAAGUAGCA
Long non-coding RNA from Bos taurus (domestic cattle), 1818 nucleotides. The record is from Ensembl. NCBI's taxonomy places the organism in Eukaryota, Metazoa, Chordata, Mammalia, Artiodactyla, Bovidae.